This 1595-nucleotide unclassified non-coding RNA is filed under the name Hevea brasiliensis (rubber tree). Lineage: Eukaryota; Viridiplantae; Streptophyta; Magnoliopsida; Malpighiales; Euphorbiaceae. The record is from RNAcentral.
AGGAAGCACAACAUUUUACAGUAAAAAAACAAGUAACACGUAAAUACCAUAUGGCUACUCUGCCUACAAAGUUCAGGUAGAUGGCAGGUCCCACUACUGCCCUGAAAUCAUUACAGAAAUUUGAGACCCUAGCAUUGUGUCCUCCAGAUUUGCGUUGUCCACUGGUCAUGUAACAACAAAUUUCAUAAUAGUAACCACUCACAGCACCAACAAAAAAUGUGGACAUUACCUAAGUACGUAUUACUGACGUAAAAAAGAAUUGACGAGGUGAACCCCCAACAAAUGCUUAGCACACGAACAAACUGAUAGGACUGGGAUUUGCGAGUAUGCAACAAACAAACUGAUAGGACUGGGAUUUGCGAGUAUGCAACAUUUAACUUGAUGCAACAGGCUUGGCAAUGGCCUUCUUAACAGCCUCAGCAUAUGUCCUGUGCUGGUAAGUCAAUGUUGAUUCCAGUAAGUCCCAUAGUGAAGUCUUCGGGUCCCAGCCAAGUUGCUUAUGGAUUAUGGUCAUGUCUGGAAUACGUUUAUCACUGUCAUCAUAUCCUUCACCAUAGAACUCCUUGGAGCUUACAUCAAUCGUCGGUACCUCAAUUGUUGGCUCCCCUGAUACUUUUGAAUACACCUCAGCCAUCAUCUCUGCAAGCUGCUUGACAGUAACUUCAUUGUUAGGAUUUCCCACAUUAAAGAUGUGGCCAUUGGCACGAGCAGGGUUCUCAAUCAUCAAAAGAACUGCUUCAAUGGCAUCCUUAAUGUACACAAACGUUCUCUGGGACUGGCCACCAUCAACGAGCUUCAGUGGCUCACCCCGAAGGAGAUUAUUACUGAAGCAAGCCAAAACCCUGGGGACACCCUCACUUGGCCCAUCAAUCCCUGGAAUAAAAUCCAUCCUUGGGCCAAUCCAAUUGAAAGGCCUCACAAUAGUGAACUCGAGGCCAUUUUCAGCUCCCUCAGCAUAAACUAGCCUUUCAAUUAGCUGCUUAGCACAUGCAUAAGACCACCUCUGUUUCUCAAUAGAGCCAAAGAUACAUGGUGAUGCAUCUUCUUUGAGAACAUAAAACUCAGGAUCCUGUCGUAGAGGAUGGUCCUUAGGUAGAAAGCUCCCGAUCGUCUUCCCAUACACCUCACACGUCGAGAAAUGGAUGAGCCUCUUGCUGUUCUCCGAACAGUACUUCACCACCGGGAGCGCAUCGAUGAAAUUGCUGUAGAUAGUGUCAAGCGGACGUGUAUUGUAGUCCGCCGGCGUGCAGAUCGCCGCCAGAUUGAUCGUCAGAUCGGACAUCUUGAUGAGGCCCUCAAGGCGGGGAUCGUUUUUGAUGUUGAGGCGGUGGAAGUUGAUCCGGCCGGUCCAGGGAUGGGGAGAGUCAGCGGGACUCUCGAGGAGGUGCUUGAUCUUGUCACUGUAAACGUCGACGGCGAGCACCGUGUGGGGGGUCUCCGACAUGAGCUUCUCGCAGAGGUGGGAGCCGAUGAAGCCGCCGGCGCCGAUCAUGCAGAUCGUUAUCGGAGAAAUCGCGUUGCCGUCCAGAUCGAGCCUCGCCGGAGCUGCUGCCGCCGCCAUCGCUGACGCCGGAGGUGAAGGAUUGGAUCGAGAU